AACUGUCCUUGUUUUCUUUUUUGAUACCGGUGAGUCUUUGUGACUUUUACGCCAACAGGAACGUGGUCAGGUGUUGGUGAUAAAUAGCUUUAUAAAUUGAAAGGUGGACCAACAAAAUUAUAGUUUUUAUUUGGGUGAUACUGACUUCUAAUUAUCCAGUAGAGUGUCUGAUUGGGAUGCACAAAUAUAAUUAUACUAACCUCACAAAUUCAGAGCAGUCAAAGCUCUGCACAAAUAUCACACAGAGGUCAAAAUUGCCAUCCCCUCUGAUAUCACGAAUCAUAUCGCAAUCGCAAUUCCUGUCAAAAUAACCGCAGUUACCGUAGAUAUUAGCCCUACCAGACACUGAAGCUUCAAAAGAUUUCAUGUGCCAGUGGCUGCUUGCGUUCCGCACCACUGCUGAAACUCUCCCCGAAGCCAAGGCAUGUACAGUUCACCUUUGAACUUUCGCCCACAUGAUUUGCACGUCUUAACUGAAACUCUACCAAAAGGCUUUCGAAGUCUCAAACCUGCACUAUGCUCGCAAUUUGCAACACGCCGGAGUGACGACGGCUACCCUCAGGGGAGGUGGAAGUGUCCCCACCAUCUGCUGCGAGUCUUGAGGGACUUGUGGACUCUCCACAGACUUCUAAUCUGAAUAUUUGAAAGAGGGUUUUUUUUUUCUCUCUCUCUUUGACUUCAAGGUUAGCACUGUUCCUGCUGAAUCUUUUAUUGUUCUCUCCGCCCUGUGCCGUUUGGUGGCUCUGAUGAAAUUGUAAUGGGGAAGUUUUCCAUAAAAAAAGAUCUGACACUUGUUCUAAUUGAAACUAAAAAUGUGUCAAAGUUGGUGAUUUACUGCUGAAACCCCCCUCCCCUCCCGUUGUGGGCCUAAUAAAGGAUUAUCUUAUUUUAGCUGAAAAGAAACCGAUCGAACAAAAAUAGCAAAGCACCAGAGGGUGAGAUACCAUUUGGCUUUCCUGGAUUCAGCUCCAAAAACACUUUGUCCCCCACAAUUUCUGCAACGCAUCAGCAGGGUUAUUUUCUCUGACUUGGAAAAGCCCCCCCAAAGACUUUAUGCAUGUUUUCACUGGCUGAGUAAUUACUAGCUAUUACUGGAGGAAUGCUCCUUUAACAGGCUUUGUAACUGUUUCUAAAACUUAAAGAUCAUACAGUCACAUCUGUCUUUGAUUCUCCGUUCAUUAAAAACCAAGCAAUCUGUGCAAAAUCUGAGUAUUAAUGGUCCAAUGUGUAUAUAUAGUGAUAUAGAGUUUGUCAUGUUCUCAUAGACUGUAGCUCAGAAAGUGGGACGGAAAUAACAGGGGGCGACUCUGCUAUUUAAAAAUAACUCCGUUUGAAUGUCGAUGAGAAAAUUAGCUUCUAAUGCUCACUUGAUCUGUAACGUCAGUACACAUUUUCCUGAGGAGUUAAUGGCCCAGAUCACUACUUUCUUACUCUUCUGCAUUAGAACAUGAUGUCGAUUUUGUAGAUUAUAAUCCCAUUUCAGAGAAAAGAAAAGAUGAUAAAGCAUUGCGCGCAUAAUAUCAUAUAGGAUAGGAGUGGGAAUCACAGGAUACGAUACGCGAUACAUGGUCCCCAAUACCGAUAAUAUCACAAUACAAUGAUUUUGAUCAAUAUAUGAAUUUGUGUGUUGUUUAAAUAAUAAAUAAAAUGGAAAAAAACUCUCAUUUUUUUCCAAUUUCCAAUACUGUGCGAGAAUUUGUGAGCAUUUCCCACUUCAUCCAGUUUUACAUCCAGCGCAAGUUAUGCGACCCGAAAGUGACACGAGAUAUUCAUAGUUUGGAACUUAAAAAGAAACGUUUAACAGAAACACGCGCAAGACAUAUUUUGAAUCAUAAGCAACAUAGACAACAAGCUACGACCCUGCUAUCAUCCAGAAAAGCCAUCUUUUGCGCUGGAGAAGCUAAAUCAAUCUCUACAUGCGGUCAUCAGUGAGACCAGAGCGCAGGGACCGUCUACAAAGUGCAACACCCGAAAUAAGAGGUUUAAAAAUAUUCAAUAACUUCACCAUAAUACAGAGUAGUGUUGUCAAACUUUCUUUAAACUUUACUGUGACCUUGAGGUCAUGUAACUUGUCUGUUUUUUUGUCCCCCAAUUUUUAUUUGAGCGGAAAUUGGGGAAAAAAAACAAAACUUUUUUAACUUUUCAUUUUAUUUUGAAAAUCAAAUGGAUAUCUGUUUUUCUUUUUCAUUAUUCAUUGCCUUUUGAAAAAACCGAAUGACACACAGAUCCAUCAGGGCUUGUGUUUGCAUGUGAGGUAACAGAUCCUUGAGGCACAGAACAGGUGAGUUCAGAAAGCAGACCCGGUUUGUAAAGAGUUCCGGGCACGCCGCCAUCCACCUGGCACUCCCCUGACAGGGAGGCGGCCACAACAGAGACCUGGCAGCUCCAAAACAGAGCUGUGUUGCCAGGAGACAAGUCACUCCUCCCCUAGAUUUAUUUACUGCGCUCCUCAUCAAGGUCAUAGCCAGUGUCUUUGCGGCUGAGCGAGGAGCGAGGGAGACGCGUGGCUGCGAGAGCGAGAGAUAGAGUGAAAAGGAGAGUGGGAGUGGGUCGGCUGAACGAUAUGGUUAAUCUCCAUCCUGGACUAAAAAGUAGCUGUCAUCACCGCUCACUCCCAACGACGCUACCUCUGAUUUAUAUCAUCUCUAUAUGCUAAUUUUAUCUACAUCUGCUCUGCGGCUGGUACAUUAUGAUUAUUAUAAUAAUAAUAACAUUACAUGUGAUGACAUUAUAAUAAUAAAUGUGGGCGGCUUGCACUGGAGCGCGUUAUUGACUUUUAUGUUAUCAUGCAAAGUUGCUUGUCGUUUAAAUAAUGAUAUUGAUUUCAGGGGCAAACUGUUGCUGCAUCGAGAACUGGAAUAAGAACUGACUCCAUUUUUUAUAAAGAGCUGUGCAGAGAGAUAAAUGAAUGCAAAACCUCUGCGGCCCGACUCAAUCUGACAUCCAUUUCCAGUUCAUUACUCAACAUCUUGUACCAGUCACAUGCACAUGACUUUUUUCCCUUGCUGGACCCGCGCAGUGCAGAUCAAAAGAUAGCUCGACGAGCAAGAAAGAAGCCAAAGCAAUCAAAACAAGAACUCACAUUUCGUUGGCCGUUCCAGUUUCCGCCUCCCUCUCUUCUUGUGCGGCGUCAUCAGGCUUUCGUUCUUGUCUCUCCCCGAGUCUGGCUCUUCCCGACCGGACAGGAAUCCGUUCUCCCGGGAAGGACUCAGGCUCCGACCCUGGGAGCCGUCCUCUGCUCGGCAGGAGGAAGGGCCUCUGGGGAUCCCGUUCUCCACUUCCCUCCUCUCCUGUUUGGGGAAGCAGGCAUCAGACGUCCUGUCCCUGUGCCCGCCCACAUCUCCGUUGUGGACUUGUGCCAUGGACGGCCUCCCGACUCCAGCGUAGCUGUCUUUGAAAGAGCCACAGCUCUCAGCCUGCCCCGGCACAGAGAGAGUGAAAGCGUUAACACGCCUGCCAUCCAUCAGCUUUACAGAUCGCUAUCGCCGUAGCAGUUUGACGUUGCAAAGGUUUUACAGCAGAUAUGACACAUGUACCGCUGAACAGAGCGGAGUUAAUAAAUAAAGUCAAUAAAUAAACCCGCAUUCA
Long non-coding RNA from Solea senegalensis (Senegalese sole), 3588 nucleotides. RefSeq lists it as uncharacterized. Lineage: Eukaryota; Metazoa; Chordata; Actinopteri; Pleuronectiformes; Soleidae. The transcript has 2 exons. The record is from RefSeq and is a predicted model, not a curated record.